RNAcentral lists this ribosomal RNA (587 nucleotides) under uncultured bacterium. Its description in RNAcentral is "bacterial SSU rRNA". It matches the Rfam family "Bacterial small subunit ribosomal RNA", at positions 391 to 972 of the family's 1533-position model. The record is from RNAcentral.
UUCAUGCCGCGUGAGUGAAGAAGGCCUUCGGGUUGUAAAGCUCUUUUGUCAGGGAAGAAACAGCAGCUCUAACACAGCAUGCGAAUGACGGUACCUGAAGAAUAAGCACCGGCUAACUACGUGCCAGCAGCCGCGGUAAUACGUAGGGUGCAAGCGUUAAUCGGAAUUACUGGGCGUAAAGCGUGCGCAGGCGGUUAUACAAGACAGGUGUGAAAUCCCCGGGCUUAACCUGGGAAUGGCAUCUGUGACUGUAUAGCUAGAGUGUGUCAGAGGGGGGUAGAAUUCCACGUGUAGCAGUGAAAUGCGUAGAGAUGUGGAGGAAUACCAAUGGCGAAGGCAGCCCCCUGGGAUAACACUGACGCUCAUGCACGAAAGCGUGGGGAGCAAACAGGAUUAGAUACCCUGGUAGUCCACGCCCUAAACGAUGCUGACUAGUUGUUCGGGAAUUACUUCCUGAGUAACGUAGCUAACGCGUGAAGUCAGCCGCCUGGGGAGUACGGUCGCAAGAUUAAAACUCAAAGGAAUUGACGGGGACCCGCACAAGCGGUGGAUGAUGUGGAUUAAUUCGAUGCAACGCGAAAAACCUU